ACGGACUGAAUUGGAGCAGGGAAGCUGAUAAUAGUUUCCGGCGAUUUAGAUUUUGAGCUUGUAGGACUUAAAUUCGACACUGGAGAGAGACUAGUAGGUAUGGAAUUUGGUGGAGAACAAGAAUGUGAAUACGGAUACGAUGCAGUUCUUGAAUUGAAACUUCUAGACCCAAAAUGUGCUCCCUGCAUACCUUGAAGCUCUCUUCUAGAACUCGACCCCAUACGAACCGGACUCUCUUGAAUAGUCUCUUUUCGCCCAGAUGACCCUCUAGG
This 272-nucleotide unclassified non-coding RNA is filed under the name Hevea brasiliensis (rubber tree). Lineage: Eukaryota; Viridiplantae; Streptophyta; Magnoliopsida; Malpighiales; Euphorbiaceae. The record is from RNAcentral.